AGGGUGUAAACGCUGCAGACUUGGUGUUGGGGGCCCUUUGGGGGCAUUCAGUGCCGGAGAGAAGUUGUUAAGUCUGCUACUUGGGGAGUACGUCCGCAAGGAUGAAACUUAAAGGAAUUGGCGGGGGAGCACCGCAACGGGAGGAGCGUGCGGUUUAAUUGGAUUCAACACCGUAAAACUCACCAGGGAAGACUGUUACAUGAAGGCCGAGAUGAAGACUCUGCUAGAUUUUUCAGAGAGGAGGUGCAUGGCGUCAGUGACU
Molecule: ribosomal RNA, 262 nt
Filed under: uncultured archaeon
Lineage: Archaea
Description: partial 16S ribosomal RNA
Rfam family: Archaeal small subunit ribosomal RNA
Source: RNAcentral